UGGCUCAGAAUCAACGCUGGCGGCGUGCCUAACACAUGCAAGUCGAACGCGACUGGGGACUUCGGUUCCCAGUUGAGUGGCGAACGGGUGAGUAACACGUGGGUAUCUACCUUCGAGCGGGGGAUAACGUUCCGAAAGGAACGCUAAUACCGCAUGACGUCCUGGGUUUAAAGACCUGGAGACCAAAGCUAGGGACCGCAUGGCCUGGCACUUGAAGAGGAGCCCGCGUCCGAUUAGCUAGUCGGCGGGGUAACGGCCCACCAAGGCGACGAUCGGUAGCCGGCCUGAGAGGGCGGACGGCCACACUGGGACUGAGACACGGCCCCGACUCCUACGGGAGGCAGCAGUGGGGAAUUGUUCACAAUGGGCGCAAGCCUAAANACGCAACGCCGCGUGGGGGACGAAGGUCUUNAAAAUCGUAAACCCCUGUCGAGUGGGACGAAUAACUCACGAAUCAAUACGUCGU
Molecule: ribosomal RNA, 466 nt
Filed under: uncultured Acidobacteriota bacterium
Lineage: Bacteria; Pseudomonadati; Acidobacteriota
Description: bacterial SSU rRNA
Rfam family: Bacterial small subunit ribosomal RNA
Source: RNAcentral